Molecule: transfer-messenger RNA, 370 nt
Filed under: Microbacteriaceae
Lineage: Bacteria; Bacillati; Actinomycetota; Actinomycetes; Micrococcales
Also listed under: 1 other name
Description: Microbacterium sp017968845 Standard tmRNA
Rfam family: transfer-messenger RNA
About the family: Bacterial tmRNA, also known as 10Sa RNA or SsrA, is named for its dual tRNA and mRNA-like properties. Its role is to liberate the mRNA from a stalled ribosome. To accomplish this part of the tmRNA is used as a reading frame that ends in a translation stop signal.
Source: RNAcentral
GGGGCUGAUCGGUUUCGACAGCGCCUGUGAAUCCACGAGAAGCGGGCCGAGGAUGCAGAGUUAUCUCGUAAACGCUCUCUGCAAACCAAUAGUUGCCGAUGCAAAGCGCAACGACUUCGCCCUCGCUGCCUAAGCGAGCCCGAUAGUCCGUCAGACCGUGGCUGAUCUCGACACGGACUCUGGCGUCAUCUAGAGAUCUUGCUGAGCGGUGGCGUCUGGACGCCGCUCGGGACUUUUCCCAGACUGGGCUCGUCGACUUAGGUGUCUGUGACAAAGGUCGGAGCCGAGCAGAACGCUUCCACAGACUGCGCCCGGAGAAGGCGUGGAGACUCAGUGCUGGACGGGGGUUCGAUUCCCCCCAGCUCCACGA